This is a long non-coding RNA of Cyprinus carpio (common carp), 489 nucleotides long. The record is from Ensembl. Lineage: Eukaryota; Metazoa; Chordata; Actinopteri; Cypriniformes; Cyprinidae.
GGUACAACGGGUCCCUGACGACCCCACCGUGUUUCCAGACGGUCAGCUGGACUGUGUUUAAUGACUCCAUCAGAGUCUCAAGAAGACAGGUCAGACUAUUCUCACAAGAGCAUCAUGUCAUUUAUAGCACUCGCUGAUCUAAAUCAGUCUUGUUUUUCUUUUAUUAGCUGGCGGCCUUGGAGGACACAUUGAAAACUGAACACAACAUGCUUUUGUCCAAAAACUUCAGAGCACCACAACUUCUGCACGGGAGAAAAGUGCUGGCAUCUUUCCACACAGAAUCCACUACAGGAGAAGCCAGAGAAGCUCCAGCACCUGAAACACAAGACAACAAAAUAAUGGAAUCUAGUGGACACAUUCUGGCGGUUAUCUUUGGGGUUCUGUUUGCCGUCACAUUGCUGGUCUUUUCCACGUACACAUAUCGACAGCAGAAAAAGUACUCAAAGUACGUUCAUAUCCAUCUCUGAUUCAUCACUACUUUGACUUAAG